RNAcentral lists this ribosomal RNA (468 nucleotides) under uncultured bacterium. RNAcentral's name for it is "partial 16S ribosomal RNA". It matches the Rfam family "Bacterial small subunit ribosomal RNA", at positions 28 to 507 of the family's 1533-position model. The record is from RNAcentral.
GAUGAACGCUGGCGGCGUGCUUAACACAUGCAAGUCGAACGGUGAAGGCGGAGCUUGCUCUGCUGGAUCAGUGGCGAACGGGUGAGUAACACGUGAGCAAUCUGCCCCUGACUCUGGGAUAAGCGCUGGAAACGGCGUCUAAUACUGGAUACGAGCUGCGAAGGCAUCUUCAGCAGCUGGAAAGAACUUCGGUCAGGGAUGAGCUCGCGGCCUAUCAGCUUGUUGGUGAGGUAACGGCUCACCAAGGCGUCGACGGGUAGCCGGCCUGAGAGGGUGACCGGCCACACUGGGACUGAGACACGGCCGAGACUCCUACGGGAGGCAGCAGUGGGGAAUAUUGCACAAUGGGCGAAAGCCUGAUGCAGCAACGCCGCGUGAGGGACGACGGCCUUCGGGUUGUAAACCUCUUUUAGCAGGGAAGAAGCGAAAGUGACGGUACCUGCAGAAAAAGCGCCGGCUAACUACGUG